RNAcentral lists this non-coding RNA (185 nucleotides) under Planctomycetota bacterium. RNAcentral describes it as "6S RNA". It matches the Rfam family "6S / SsrS RNA". Rfam says of the family: E. coli 6S RNA was the first non coding RNA to be sequenced, but its function was unknown until recently. It consists of 184 nucleotides that fold into an extended hairpin structure with a large single-stranded internal bulge. The record is from RNAcentral. Lineage: Bacteria; Pseudomonadati; Planctomycetota.
GAGCGACUGCCAUGUUCGCAAGGGGAUGAUUAUUGGCUGAACCGAUAAGAGAACCUAGGGUUGCCCCGUUGAACCGCUGAACGACGUACCGACCCCAUUCGAGGUUGGCGGUCCGAGCGGCUCCGAGCGACCCCCGUUUAUAAGAGGGUUCUGUCCAAUGUCCCCAGCGGCAUUGCGGUGGUUGC